RNAcentral lists this transfer RNA (85 nucleotides) under Fluviibacter phosphoraccumulans. RNAcentral's name for it is "tRNA-Leu". It matches the Rfam family "tRNA". From Rfam's summary of the family: Transfer RNA (tRNA) molecules are approximately 80 nucleotides in length. Their secondary structure includes four short double-helical elements and three loops (D, anti-codon, and T loops). Further hydrogen bonds mediate the characteristic L-shaped molecular structure. tRNAs have two regions of fundamental functional importance: the anti-codon, which is responsible for specific mRNA codon recognition, and the 3' end, to which the tRNAs corresponding amino acid is attached (by aminoacyl-tRNA synthetases). tRNAs cope with the degeneracy of the genetic code in two manners: having more than one tRNA (with a specific anti-codon) for a particular amino acid; and 'wobble' base-pairing, i.e. permitting non-standard base-pairing at the 3rd anti-codon position. The record is from RNAcentral. Lineage: Bacteria; Pseudomonadati; Pseudomonadota; Betaproteobacteria; Rhodocyclales; Fluviibacteraceae. RNAcentral also lists the same sequence under 5 other names.
GCCUCGGUGGUGAAAUUGGUAGACGCGCCGGACUCAAAAUCCGGUUCCGCAAGGAGUGUCGGUUCGAUUCCGACCCGAGGCACCA